GCCGAGUUGGGUUACUCCAGCUUGUGACCCAAGUGGGGGCUUCAGAGUGAUAGAACAGCUUUCGGGCUUGCUGGGUUGGACUGUAGCUGCUAUCUGCGGGCCUGCCCGCUCCAAGUUGGGAGUUGAGCCUCGAGUCUUGAGCGAAGGCCCAAGUUUCGUGGCUCCUAGACUUGAGGGCACAGCGUGAGGCUGGUUUAACAGAGCAGCGAACACCUCAGGCUCCCAACAGUGGAGGGAUAACAGGUUGCUGCACCCACAGUCCACAAUGGCCUUGUGAGCCCAUUUGCUUGGACCAUCACUCUU
Molecule: non-coding RNA, 303 nt
Organism: Glycine soja
Lineage: Eukaryota; Viridiplantae; Streptophyta; Magnoliopsida; Fabales; Fabaceae
Source: Rfam